CACUGCCGAGAAAAGCCUCUAGAUAGAAAAUAGGUGCCCGUACCGCAAACCGACACAGGUAGUCAAGAUGAGAAUUCUAAGGUGAGCGAGCGAACUCUCGUUAAGGAACUCGGCAAAAUGACCCCGUAACUUCGGGAGAAGGGGUGCUCUUUAGGGUUAACGCCCAGAAGAGCCGCAGUGAAUAGGCCCAAGCGACUGUUUAUCAAAAACACAGGUCUCUGCUAAACCGUAAGGUGAUGUAUAGGGGCUGACGCCUGCCCGGUGCUGGAAGGUUAAGAGGAGUGGUUAGCUUCUGCGAAGCUACGAAUCGAAGCCCCAGUAAACGGCGGCCGUAACUAUAACGGUCCUAAGGUAGCGAAAUUCCUUGUCGGGUAAGUUCCGACCCGCACGAAAGGCGUAACGAUUUGGGCACUGUCUCAACGAGAGACUCGGUGAAAUCAUAGUACCUGUGAAGAUGCAGGUUACCCGCGACAGGACGGAAAGACCCCGUGGAGCUUUACUGUAGCCUGAUAUUGAAAUUCGGCACAGCUUGUACAGGAUAGGUAGGAGCCUUUGAAACGUGAGCGCUAGCUUACGUGGAGGCGCUGGUGGGAUACUACCCUAGCUGUGUUGGCUUUCUAACCCGCACCACUUAUCGUGGUGGGAGACAGUGUCAGGCGGGCAGUUUGACUGGGGCGGUCGCCUCCUAAAAGGUAACGGAGGCGCUCAAAGGUUCCCUCAGAAUGGUUGGAAAUCAUUCAUAGAGUGUAAAGGCAUAAGGGAGCUUGACUGCGAGACCUACAAGUCGAGCAGGGUCGAAAGACGGACUUAGUGAUCCGGUGGUUCCGCAUGGAAGGGCCAUCGCUCAACGGAUAAAAGCUACCCCGGGGAUAACAGGCUUAUCUCCCCCAAGAGUUCACAUCGACGGGGAGGUUUGGCACCUCGAUGUCGGCUCAUCGCAUCCUGGGGCUGUAGUCGGUCCCAAGGGUUGGGCUGUUCGCCCAUUAAAGCGGUACGCGAGCUGGGUUCAGAACGUCGUGAGACAGUUCGGUCCCUAUCCGUCGUGGGCGUAGGAAAUUUGAGAGGAGCUGUCCUUAGUACGAGAGGACCGGGAUGGACAUACCUCUGGUGUACCAGUUGUCGUGCCAACGGCAUAGCUGGGUAGCUAUGUGUGGACGGGAUAAGUGCUGAAAGCAUCUAAGCAUGAAGCCCCCCUCAAGAUGAGAUUUCCCAACUUCGGUUAUAAGAUCCCUCAAAGAUGAUGAGGUUAAUAGG
RNAcentral lists this ribosomal RNA (1254 nucleotides) under Staphylococcus aureus. RNAcentral's name for it is "partial 23S ribosomal RNA". It matches the Rfam family "Bacterial large subunit ribosomal RNA", at positions 1603 to 2860 of the family's 2925-position model. The record is from RNAcentral. Lineage: Bacteria; Bacillati; Bacillota; Bacilli; Caryophanales; Staphylococcaceae.